This 68-nucleotide microRNA precursor is filed under the name Bombyx mori (domestic silkworm). RNAcentral describes it as "mir-2774 microRNA precursor family". It matches the Rfam family "mir-2774 microRNA precursor family". Lineage: Eukaryota; Metazoa; Arthropoda; Insecta; Lepidoptera; Bombycidae. The record is from Rfam by way of RNAcentral.
ACAACAUUCGAACCGUCGGUCUGCCGAGUAAAUAUCACCAGCUCGGUGGAAGAUCUUCUCUGCGUCGU